Non-coding RNA from Amborella trichopoda, 96 nucleotides. NCBI's taxonomy places the organism in Eukaryota, Viridiplantae, Streptophyta, Magnoliopsida, Amborellales, Amborellaceae. The record is from Rfam.
AUGUGGCAAGAGUGAUGAACCAAUUAGAUGUAUGAAAAGAAUUGUUCUUUCAUGAACUGAACUUUUGAGGCAUUAUAAUACUCUGACUAGCCACUU